This 253-nucleotide ribosomal RNA is filed under the name uncultured bacterium. RNAcentral's name for it is "partial 16S ribosomal RNA". It matches the Rfam family "Bacterial small subunit ribosomal RNA", at positions 524 to 776 of the family's 1533-position model. The record is from RNAcentral.
UACGUAGGGUGCAAGCGUUGUCCGGAAUCACUGGGCGUAAAGGGCGUGUAGGCGGUCCGCUAAGUCUGAUGUGAAAGCCCGGGGCUCACCCCCGGAAGGGCAUUGGAAACUGACGGACUCGAGUCCCGAAGAGGAGGGUGGAAUUCCUGGUGUAGCGGUGAAAUGCGUAGAUAUCAGGAGGGACACCGGUGGCGAAGGCGGCCCUCUGGACGGUGACUGACGCUGAGACGCGAAAGCGUGGGGAGCAAACAGG